This 443-nucleotide ribosomal RNA is filed under the name uncultured bacterium. RNAcentral's name for it is "partial 16S ribosomal RNA". It matches the Rfam family "Bacterial small subunit ribosomal RNA", at positions 338 to 795 of the family's 1533-position model. The record is from RNAcentral.
CCUACGGGAGACAGCAGUGGGGGAUAUUGGACAAUGGGGGGAACCCUGAUCCAGCGACGCCGCGUGAGUGAAGAAGUAUUUCGGUAUGUAAAGCUCUGUCAGCAGGGAAGAAAGAAAUGACGGUACCGGACCAAGAAGCCCCGGCUAACUACGUGCCAGCAGCCGCGGUAAUACGUAGGGGGCAAGCGUUAUCCGGAAUUACUGGGUGUAAAGGGAGCGUAGACGGUUACGUAAGUCUGGAGGGAAAGGCCGGGGCCCAACCCCGGGACUGCUCUGGAAACUAUUGAACUUGCGUACAGGAGAGGUACGCGGAAUUCCUAGUGUAGCGGUGACAUGCGUAGAUAUUAGGAGGCACACCAGUGGCGAAGGCGGCUUACUGGACUGUAACUGACGUUGAGGCUCGAACGCGUGGGGAGCAAACAGGAUUAGAUACCCGGGUAGUC